UACAUGGGGUGCAAACGUUGCUCGGAAUUAUUGGGCGUAAAGCGCGCGUAGGCGGUUACUCAAGUCGGAUGUGAAAGCCCUCGGCUUAACUGAGGAAGUGCACCCGAAACUGAGUAGCUAGAGUACCAAAGAGGGUCGCGGAAUUCCCGGUGUAGAGGUGAAAUUCGUAGAUAUCGGGAGGGACACCGGUGGCGAAGGCGGCGACCUGGGUGGAUACUGACGCUGAGGCGCGAAAGCGUGGGGAGCAAACAGG
RNAcentral lists this ribosomal RNA (253 nucleotides) under uncultured bacterium. Its description in RNAcentral is "partial 16S ribosomal RNA". It matches the Rfam family "Bacterial small subunit ribosomal RNA", at positions 524 to 776 of the family's 1533-position model. The record is from RNAcentral.